This 1103-nucleotide long non-coding RNA is filed under the name Gallus gallus (chicken). Its description in RNAcentral is "lncRNA (ENSGALG00010003015.1)". The record is from RNAcentral. Lineage: Eukaryota; Metazoa; Chordata; Aves; Galliformes; Phasianidae.
ACCCAGAAACGCUCUUUUUCUGGACUUUCCUUGAUUAAGCAGGUUUUGAAGUGAAGUGCCAUGAUCCCAUUAAGGCCAUGCUGUUUGAUGAAUACAUUCUGAAUAGGUGGAGUAAGACAGAGUUAAAUCUUCAGUGUGUUCUUGUAAUAGACAUCAUCUGGCACAUGUUUUCAUGCUAUUCUUCACUGUUUUAGCAAAACAUUACUUUGGGCUUUUUUAAUGACAUAUCUUGUUUUUUCAGGGAGAGUUAAUGCUUUGGUUACAAGGGAAUAAAAUCUUCCUUGCAACAUUUGUUUCCAAUAUAACUUUACUCCUUUAAGAAAAAUCACCUUAAGGGGAGGGAUAGGUUCUUUCUAACUAAUUAAUAGUCACUUUAGUAUUGGUUAGGUCUUAAUGGAAGGAGGGGCUGCAUUAAAAAAAGGGGUGGCCAGCAGGGAGAGGGAGGUGAUUGUCCUCCUCUGAUCGGUUCUUGUGAGGCCCCAUCUGGAGUACUGUGUCCAGGUCUGGGGCCCCCAGUACAUGAAGGACGGGGAGCUCUUGGAGUGGGUCCAGAGGAGGGCCACUAAGAUGAUCAGAGGGCUGGAGCACCUCUCCUAUGAGGAAAGGUUGAGGGAACUGGGCUUGUUUAGCUUGGAGAAGAGAAGGCUUUGGGGAGACCUCAUUGUGGUCUUCCAGUACAUGAAGGGAGCGUAUAAACAGGAGGGGGUACGACCAUUUACAUGGGUGGAUAGUGAUAGGACAAGAGGGGAUGGUUUUAAACUGAGACAGGGGAGAUUUAGGUUAGAUAUUAGGAGGAAGUUUUUCCCCCAGAGGGUGGUGACGCACUGGAACAGGUUGCCCAAGGAGGUUGUGGAUGCCCCAUCCCUGGAGGCAUUCAAGGCCAGGCUGGAUGUGGCUCUGGGAAGCCUGGUCUGGUGGUUGGUGGCCCUGCACAUAGCAGGGGGGUUGAAACUAAAUGAUCAUUUUGGUCCUUUUCAAACCAGGCCAUUCUAUGAUUCUAUGAUUCUAUGAAGAUGGCAAUAAAUGAAGGCCAUAUAGGAUAUGCCAUCCCCUUACAUUACCUGCAAAAAUGAGGUAGGUCAUGCAAUAUAUUUUCUUUAUAG